This 478-nucleotide ribosomal RNA is filed under the name uncultured bacterium. RNAcentral describes it as "partial 16S ribosomal RNA". It matches the Rfam family "Bacterial small subunit ribosomal RNA", at positions 28 to 507 of the family's 1533-position model. The record is from RNAcentral.
GAUGAACGCUGGCGGCGUGCUUAACACAUGCAAGUCGAACGGGAAACCUUUUAUUGAAGCUUCGGCAGAUUUAGCUGGUUUCUAGUGGCGGACGGGUGAGUAACGCGUGGGUAACCUGCCUUAUACAGGGGGAUAACAACCAGAAAUGGUUGCUAAUACCGCAUAAGCGCACAGGACCGCAUGGUCCGGUGUGAAAAACUCCGGUGGUAUAAGAUGGACCCGCGUUGGAUUAGCUAGUUGGCAGGGUAACGGCCUACCAAGGCGACGAUCCAUAGCCGGCCUGAGAGGGUGAACGGCCACAUUGGGACUGAGACACGGCCCAGACUCCUACGGGAGGCAGCAGUGGGGAAUAUUGCACAAUGGGGGAAACCCUGAUGCAGCGGCGCCGCGUGAAGGAAGAAGUAUCUCGGUAUGUAAACUUCUAUCAGCAGGGAAGAUAGUGACGGUACCUGACUAAGAAGCCCCGGCUAACUACGUG